This is a non-coding RNA of Paramuricea clavata, 999 nucleotides long. The record is from the annotation of a GenBank genome assembly. Lineage: Eukaryota; Metazoa; Cnidaria; Anthozoa; Malacalcyonacea; Plexauridae.
CCAUUUCCGGUCAUCAAUUGUUUCAAGCACAUAACAUUUCGAAGACAUGCAUUAAUGCUGAUGAAAGAAUACUAUUGAAAACUGUGUUAUUCUGUUAUUAAUCACUUAUUAUAACCAAACAGCUAGAGAUAAUAACCGGUUACAAGCUGCCUCACUUUACUGCUAGUAUAUGUACAUAGAUAUAAUAAACCCUAUCCUAUAUUUCUCUCAGGCCUUCACAGAAACAAUGUUAUCGUUUAGUGUAAUAAUUAAUAUUAUAUAUCAUACUGAUAAAUUAACAAUUCUUUCUGAUUGGUCGUACUCAUGCUAAUUCAAUUAGGUCAUUUGCAACUUUACGGCAUUAUAGGCUACUGUACCCAAGUAUGCAUGCAUAUGACAUAUUAUACAAGUGUUCGUAAAUAGUGUUCAAUAUCAACGACAAGUUGUAGAAAUCCUCAUUCGGUCAGAGCCUAAUCAAAACAAGAGUCAAGACUAUAAGCUAACAUAUAUUUACCUCUUGUCAAAACCACGAUUAUCUGCCAUUGCUUCACUUCACACGACAGAAUGCCUAAGCUCGAUGUUCAGCCACAAUCGAUCAGUUGUGAUAGCUCAAGCUCAGUUCAACGUUCAACAGGUUAUACGUGUAUGAAAGAGAAAUCAUAUUAUGUCGAGUUUUAACAUUUGAGUAUGACGUCAUUCAUUUGUGAUGACUAGUUAUAAGUAGUUUUAAUGCUGCAUUCCUGCAAGUUUCAGAAAGACAAAUUCUUAACAUAUAUUAAUUUUUUUUAUUUCCGAAUUUGUUUUGACGUUCAUGUCAGAGCCACACGCCCACAGAAUUAAAAACAUUACCAAUUAUCACCAAUUAUGAUUAUAAUGACGCAAGUAUCAGGAUCACGCUGGAACGAAGAACUUGACCGGUCAUGCACCACAAAAUUAUUCAGACCCCCAGGACCCAGACAACUCUUACUAAAAUUUUGAAUGUUUUAAGAUUCAUCUACAGUAAUCGCUUAAUUAUAUAUA